This 230-nucleotide ribosomal RNA is filed under the name Acropyga fuhrmanni. RNAcentral describes it as "partial large subunit ribosomal RNA". The record is from RNAcentral. Lineage: Eukaryota; Metazoa; Arthropoda; Insecta; Hymenoptera; Formicidae.
GAAUUUAAUAUAAAUUUUUAAUUUUUAUUUAAUUUUUUUUUAAUAAUUUAUAUUUUAUUGGGAGGAUAAUAAAAUUUAAUUAACUUUUUAUUAUAAUAAAUUUAUUAUAUUUGAUUACAUUGAUUAAUGAGUAAUAGAAUAAAUAUAGUUUUUAUUUUAAGUUAGUAUUAAUUACCUUAGGGAUAACAGCGUAAUAAUUUUUUAAAGAUCUUAUUGAGAAUAAUGAUUGC